This 720-nucleotide ribosomal RNA is filed under the name Niallia nealsonii. Its description in RNAcentral is "bacterial SSU rRNA". It matches the Rfam family "Bacterial small subunit ribosomal RNA", at positions 42 to 752 of the family's 1533-position model. The record is from RNAcentral. Lineage: Bacteria; Bacillati; Bacillota; Bacilli; Caryophanales; Bacillaceae.
GCGGCUAUAAUGCAGUCGAGCGGACUUUAAAAGCUUGCUUUUAAAGUUAGCGGCGGACGGGUGAGUAACACGUGGGCAACCUGCCUGUAAGACUGGGAUAACUUCGGGAAACCGGAGCUAAUACCGGAUAAUUCUUUUCCUCUCAUGAGGAAAAGCUGAAAGACGGCAUCUCGCUGUCACUUACAGAUGGGCCCGCGGCGCAUUAGCUAGUUGGUGAGGUAACGGCUCACCAAGGCAACGAUGCGUAGCCAACCUGAGAGGGUGAUCGGCCACACUGGGACUGAAACACGGCCCAAACUCCUACGGGAGGCAGCAGUAGGGAAUCUUCCGCAAUGGACGAAAGUCUGACGGAGCAACGCCGCGUGAGUGAUGAAGGUUUUCGGAUCGUAAAGCUCUGUUGUUAGGGAAGAACAAGUACAAGAGUAACUGCUUGUACCUUGACGGUACCUAACCAGAAAGCCACGGCUAACUACGUGCCAGCAGCCGCGGUAAUACGUAGGUGGCAAGCGUUGUCCGGAAUUAUUGGGCGUAAAGCGCGCGCAGGCGGUCCUUUAAGUCUGAUGUGAAAGCCCACGGCUCAACCGUGGAGGGUCAUUGGAAACUGGGGGACUUGAGUGCAGAAGAGAAGAGUGGAAUUCCACGUGUAGCGGUGAAAUGCGUAGAGAUGUGGAGGAACACCAGUGCGAAGGCGACUCUUUGGUCUGUAACUGACGCUGAGGC